RNAcentral lists this ribosomal RNA (468 nucleotides) under uncultured bacterium. Its description in RNAcentral is "partial 16S ribosomal RNA". It matches the Rfam family "Bacterial small subunit ribosomal RNA", at positions 28 to 507 of the family's 1533-position model. The record is from RNAcentral.
GACGAACGCUGGCGGCGUGCUUAACACAUGCAAGUCGAACGGAAAGGCCCUGCUUUUGUGGGGUGCUCGAGUGGCGAACGGGUGAGUAACACGUGAGUAACCUGCCCUUGACUUUGGGAUAACUUCAGGAAACUGGGGCUAAUACCGUAUAGGAGCUCCUGCUGCAUGGUGGGGGUUGGAAAGUUUUGGCGGUUGGGGAUGGACUCGCGGCUUAUCAGCUUGUUGGUGGGGUAGUGGCUUACCAAGGCUUUGACGGGUAGCCGGCCUGAGAGGGUGACCGGCCACAUUGGGACUGAGAUACGGCCCAGACUCCUACGGGAGGCAGCAGUGGGGAAUAUGGCACAAUGGGCGGAAGCCUGAUGCAGCAACGCCGCGUGCGGGAUGACGGCCUUCGGGUUGUAAACCGCUUUCGCCUGUGACGCAGCGUGAGUGACGGUAAUGGGUAAAGAAGCACCGGCUAACUACGUG